GGAGAUGGGCUGUAGCUCCUUGGUAGAGCAUCUGCUUUGCACGCAGAAGGUCCAGGUUCAACCCCCAGCAUCUCCA
This is a non-coding RNA of Podarcis lilfordi (Lilford's wall lizard), 76 nucleotides long. NCBI's taxonomy places the organism in Eukaryota, Metazoa, Chordata, Lepidosauria, Squamata, Lacertidae. The record is from the annotation of a GenBank genome assembly.